This 68-nucleotide transfer RNA is filed under the name Basilepta melanopus. RNAcentral's name for it is "tRNA-Ser". The record is from RNAcentral. Lineage: Eukaryota; Metazoa; Arthropoda; Insecta; Coleoptera; Chrysomelidae.
AGUUAAUGAACUUGAUAAAAGUAUAUAUUUUGAAAAUAUAAAAAAGAAAAUAAAAUUUCUAUUAACUU